RNAcentral lists this small nucleolar RNA (132 nucleotides) under Eurypyga helias (sunbittern). RNAcentral's name for it is "Small nucleolar RNA SNORA13". It matches the Rfam family "Small nucleolar RNA SNORA13". Rfam says of the family: ACA13 is a member of the H/ACA class of snoRNA that guide the sites of modification of uridines to pseudouridines. Lineage: Eukaryota; Metazoa; Chordata; Aves; Eurypygiformes; Eurypygidae. The record is from Rfam by way of RNAcentral.
UGCCUUUGUGUUGCCCAUUCAUUCCUGUCCAGAGUGAAUGUGGUGUCAAAAAAGGCAAACAGGAAUACUUGCUCAGAGUGUUCAAGGAGCUGGUUAUUUACCUCUCUCCUCCCUGUUUUUGCAAGGACAAAA